Molecule: ribosomal RNA, 839 nt
Filed under: uncultured organism
Description: bacterial SSU rRNA
Rfam family: Bacterial small subunit ribosomal RNA
Source: RNAcentral
CAGAACGAACGCUGGCGGCGCGUUUAAGCAUGCAAGUCGAACGGUAGAAAGGUGCUUGCACUUUUUGAGAGUGGCGGACGGGUGAGUAACACGUAGGUAAUCUACCUAGAAGUUGGGGAUAGCCUGUGGAAACACAGGGUAAUACCGAAUGAGACCAUGUAAAUGGUGAAAGAGGCUAAGGCCUCGCUUUUAGUUGAGCCUGCGGCUCAUUAGCUAGUUGGUGGGGUAACGGCCUACCAAGGCGACGAUGAGUAGCCGGCCUGAGAGGGCGACCGGUCACACUGGGACUGAGACACGGCCCAGACUCCUACGGGAGGCAGCAGCUAAGAAUCUUCCGCAAUGGUCGAAAGGCUGACGGAGCGACGCCGCGUGGACGAAGAAGGCCGGAAGGUUGUAAAGUCCUUUUCUCAGAGAAGAAUAAUGUGGGGAGGGAAUGCCCUACAGAUGACGUUAUCUGAGGAAGAAGCCCCGGCUAAUUACGUGCCAGCAGCCGCGGUAACACGUAAGGGGCAAGCGUUGUUCGGAAUUAUUGGGCGUAAAGGGCGCGUAGGCGGCUGAGCAAGCCUGGUGUGAAAGGCCACAGCUUAACUGUGGGAGUGCGCUGGGAACUGUUUGGCUGGAGUUCAGGAGGGGAAUCUGGAAUUCCUGGUGUAGGGGUGAAAUCUGUAGAUAUCAGGAAGAACACCUGUGGCGAAGGCGAGAUUCUGGCCAUGAACUGACGCUGAGGCGCGAAAGCGUGGGGAGCGAACAGGAUUAGAUACCCUGGUAGUCCACGCCUGUAACGAUGUGCACUAGGUGUUGGCUGUUGUAACCGGUCAGUGCCGAAGCAAACGCGAUAA